AGUAAACUUUAGGAGUAGCUAGUUCGCUAGUUUGAGAAAGAUCCUUUGAACCUGAUAUGGUUAACACCAGCGUAGGGAAAAGUUAUAAAAUCUUA
Molecule: non-coding RNA, 95 nt
Filed under: Tenacibaculum mesophilum
Lineage: Bacteria; Pseudomonadati; Bacteroidota; Flavobacteriia; Flavobacteriales; Flavobacteriaceae
Description: TPP sequence
Rfam family: TPP riboswitch aptamer (THI element)
About the family: Vitamin B(1) in its active form thiamin pyrophosphate (TPP) is an essential coenzyme that is synthesised by coupling of pyrimidine and thiazole moieties in bacteria. The previously detected thiamin-regulatory element, thi box was extended, resulting in a new, highly conserved RNA secondary structure, the THI element, which is widely distributed in eubacteria and also occurs in some archaea.
Source: RNAcentral